GAUGAACGCUAGCGGCAGGCCUAACACAUGCAAGUCGAACGGUAAGGUCUCUUCGGAGAUACACGAGUGGCGCACGGGUGAGUAACGCGUAUGCAACCUACCCUUAACUGGGGGAUAGCCCGGAGAAAUUCGGAUUAAUACCCCAUACCAUCAUAGAUUCGCAUGGAUUUAUGAUCAAAACUCCGGUGGUUAAGGAUGGGCAUGCGUGACAUUAGCUAGUUGGUGAGGUAACGGCUCACCAAGGCUACGAUGUCUAGGGGGCCUGAGAGGGUGGUCCCCCACACUGGUACUGAGACACGGACCAGACUCCUACGGGAGGCUG
This 322-nucleotide ribosomal RNA is filed under the name uncultured Bacteroidota bacterium. Its description in RNAcentral is "bacterial SSU rRNA". It matches the Rfam family "Bacterial small subunit ribosomal RNA", at positions 28 to 351 of the family's 1533-position model. The record is from RNAcentral. Lineage: Bacteria; Pseudomonadati; Bacteroidota.